GUUUUUGUAACUUAUAAAUUAAAGUGUUAGAUUCUUACUCUAAUAAAAUCAUUGUUUGAUUAAAAACA
Molecule: transfer RNA, 68 nt
Filed under: Lamellodiscus spari
Lineage: Eukaryota; Metazoa; Platyhelminthes; Monogenea; Dactylogyridea; Diplectanidae
Description: tRNA-Lys
Rfam family: tRNA
About the family: Transfer RNA (tRNA) molecules are approximately 80 nucleotides in length.
Source: RNAcentral